RNAcentral lists this ribosomal RNA (497 nucleotides) under uncultured bacterium. RNAcentral's name for it is "partial 16S ribosomal RNA". It matches the Rfam family "Bacterial small subunit ribosomal RNA", at positions 899 to 1397 of the family's 1533-position model. The record is from RNAcentral.
ACUCAAAUGAAUUGACGGGGACCCGCACAAGCAGUGGAGCAUGUGGUUUAAUUCGAUGCAACGCGAAGAACCUUACCCAGGCUUGACAUGCAGAGGAAUGAUACAGAGAUGUAUCCGCUCUUCGGAGCCUCUGCACAGGUGCUGCAUGGCUGUCGUCAGCUCGUGCCGUGAGGUGUUGGGUUAAGUCCCGCAACGAGCGCAACCCUUAUCAUUAGUUGCCAACAUUUAAGGUGGGAACUCUAAUGAGACUGCCUGGGUUAACCAGGAGGAAGGUGAGGAUGACGUCAAGUCCGCAUGGCCCUUAUGUCUGGGGCUACACACGUGCUACAAUGGUCGGUACAGAAGGCAGCGAAACCGCAAGGUGAAGCAAAUCCCCAAAGCCGAUCCCAGUUCAGAUUGUAGUCUGCAACUCGACUACAUGAAGCCGGAAUUGCUAGUAAUGGCGUGUCAGCAACAACGCCGUGAAUACGUUCCCGGGUCUUGCACACACCGCCCGU